Molecule: long non-coding RNA, 3781 nt
Organism: Colius striatus (speckled mousebird)
Lineage: Eukaryota; Metazoa; Chordata; Aves; Coliiformes; Coliidae
Exons: 6
Source: RefSeq, a predicted model, not a curated record
GAGGGGCCGGGGAAGGCAGAGCGCCCGCCGCCGGGGAGAAGCGUCGGGGCUGCGCUCGGGCAGACAGACAGGCUGCCGCUGCCGGAGGAGGAUGGUGCUCCUGGGGAAACAACACCCUCCGUUCCCCGCCUCUCCCCGGCGCGGGCGGUCUGUUCGCCUUUGAUUGCGAGGCGAGGGCAUCCUGCCCCCGCGGCUCCCCCCUCCCGGGAUGGCUACAUACAAAGGCUGCUUUCCAGGAACUUUCCAGGAACCGCAUCAUGUGACAGGACCCGCUCCGGCGCCUCCACCGCGAUCGCGGCCAGCCAGGGCCGCCGCACCGAGCCGCCGCCCCUGUCACGCCGGGGCAGCGGCGGCCUAACCCCCCCCCCCGCGUGCCCCUCCGCUCCCCCUCCCUCCGCGGAGCUGCGGGAGACGCGCGGCGAGCAGAGACAACCGAGAAAAAGAAGGAUCAUUUGCUUUAGUUCAGUGGACAGGUAGAUGGCUCAUCACUGGCAAGCAUGGAACUCUGACCGUUAAAAGUUAAUUGAAACUGUGCUGCCUGUGGUAUGUGUACAUGCUGCUUGGAUCAAAUACAUUUUUCAGAUGAGUGAGUUGGUUGCCAGGGAUGUUACAGAUGGAAGCAGGCACAGCAGGAGGGAGUGGGAACUUUCCAGUGGAACUGUGGCAGCAGGGAACUGCUCCAGUUUGAAGUACCUGAAAUUAUGUGAAACUGUCUGCUGCUUGCAAGAAUGGUGGUUUCCUGGUGUGAAAGUGAGGCGGAGCUGCAGCCCUCAUUGAUCUCAGGACAGCAGAAUCUAGACAUGGCUGCUGAUGUUCAGACCAAUUGCAACAGUAAACAGACAAGAAGGAAACUUCCCUGGAAGACUGAUGUGAAUGUACACCUCUGCUACUCUGCCGAAGGAAAUGAGCAAGUCCCACAGAGAACUGGAGACUCUUUGACUCCAACCAGUUUCAGACCUACUUCUGAAUUUAAUUCAAGAACAGCUAAUGCACGACUCUCAGUGUUAAAUUUGAGGAUACAGCUCAAUCCUCUAUGGUUUCAGACAAAUCCAGUUGCAUCAUUGUGCAAGGUGGUAGUACCAAGAAUGUGCAGAACAACAUCAUUUGCACAGAGAAAAAGGCAAAAACUUCUUUUAAAGGCAUGCUUCCUUUUAAAAUUCAGGUCUGACUAGAGGCAGUAAAAGAAAAAAACUAUUUCACUGUGAGGGUGACAGAGCAGUGGCACAGGCUGCCCAGGGAGGGUGUGGAGUCUUCUUCCUUGGAGGUCUUCAAGACCCACCUGGAUAUGUUCGUAUGUGACCUGAUCUAGGUGACCCUGCUUCUGCAGGGGGGUUGGACUAGAUGAUCUCUAAAGAUCCCUUCCAACCCCUACCAUUCCAUGAUUCUAUGAUUCACUAAAACCUCACAGUAAAUUGAACUGUGAUUGAAAUGGUCUGAAUUGAAGACAAACUUUUUGAUAGUUGACUGAAAGAAAGGAAAGACAAAGAAGAAUUUCAGUGAGAUAUUAAAAAUAAACCAAACCAGUAGGAUGUACCCAACUAUAUUAUCCACAGCAAUGAGCUCCAUCACGUCUGAAACAGUAACUACUGGAUACAAAGCAAAUGGCUCAGUGCCUCAAUGGCAUACAAAGAUACCAGAGCAAAUUUAACAUUGCCAAUUAUGUUCAACUAAAGUUUUCAGUUACAAUGAAUAUAACCAGCAGAAAACAGAAACCUCAAAACAACUUUCAAAAAGGAUUAUUCUUUUGCAUAGAAGUGGGACAAGAAUCAAAUGGAUAGAAUCCUAAUUCCAAGUUUUCAAGUUAAGAGAAACAGAUAAAGUGUUGUUCAAGACCUACAAAACCAGGAAAGCUUGAAAUUGCCGUGAGAGGAAGAUUUUAAUUAGGUCAUGCUACAGAUGACCUAGAAGAAGGAUUAAGUAGAGGAGAACACAAACAUUGAGAGAGACAGCAUAAUCCAGGGAUUCUUUAAAUAUCAAUUUUAUUAAUUAACAUGAUAAGAAAAUGGCAGAGGGUGCAUGUAGUGAACGUGUGUUUUAGACUCAGGUUUCCAGUAACUGGUCAGAAGAGGAAGUGCUUUAAAGAUACCAGUUCAGCAUGUCAUAGAUUUUUAGCCCUCAAAAUGCCUGUAAAGAAUCCAAAAACGUUUGGGAAACAUUGAGAAAUCAAAUAUUUCUACAGUGAUUGUGGAUGUUUAAUCAUAAACAGGGCUUGACAGGCAAGAACAGACAAGUGUGAUAACAGAAGCUAUUUGAAAAGCAAAAUGUCUUGACAGUAUUGGUUGGCAAGAAGCAAAAGUAUUGGGGAGAAUAAGGGGGAACAGUAAUUUAAACGUUUAAAUUAAUCCAAGGAUGUAUUUUCUUACACUGAAGUCAAAGAGUGAAAAAUUAGGUCUGAUCUUUGAAAAAAAUAAAGGGUGCUCGGUUUUAUGUUACAGAACCUAAGAAAAUGCUAAACAUGUGAUGUAAGCCUCUCACAUAAGACCAGCGUAAGUACCAGGCGCCGUGAAGCGACAGAAGUAAAGUUUGUUGUACUACAAGUUAUUACUUUUAAAGUUAUAUUCUAGGCAGGGGAAAAAAAAAUAUUUUCAUGUGAUGGAACUUGCAGGGGAAGCAGUGAUUCUUUUCAUAGACACAACAGACAUUCUGUUGUGAGAGCACGUUUGUGAUCACAUGAGCAACACAUCAUAUAGUGUAGAGCCAAAAUCACUUGGCUGAUGCAGCCUAACUAGAGACUCAGAUAUCUUGCAAGUGUAAGAGGGAGAAUAAGCAAAACAAGUUUCCUGUUCUGCCACAAUAACCCACUAUCGGCUAAGUGGCAUGCAGAUUUAAAAAUGCAUUUUUAAAAAUAAUAUCAGGAUAAAUACUUAGACUAGCUUUAUGUAAAAUUUUCAAGAAAUACUUAAAGGCAGUCUUUUUACAUGCGUCUGACAUUACUUUUUUUCACAAUUAAAAAAAAAUUAAGGGAAAAAGGUUAUUUAGUAAUAACUUUAUAGAAGUAAUUGUCCUUUACACUAACCAUGACCAGGAUUAAAGACUAUAUGAUACUCCUCACAAAACACGUGAGUAACAUAUACUGGCAAAAUUACACUAGACUACCAGAAGAGACAAGAACCUUCUUAUGUAAGUUGUUUUGGAAAUAAAGUACCAUGAAGAUGUACAACAAACAUGGGAAAACUGUUUUCUGAUUAUUUAUUAGGAUAUGCUAAGAAGAGUUAAUGAAGUUACUGGGAUCUCUGCAGAAGCAGAACGUUCCAAGUGAGCCCUUUCAGAGCUCUGAGGCCUAAAACUGGAAUAAGUGAUCUCCUUUCCCCGAGAAAAAAAAUGCUAGGUGACAAAGUAUUACAAUAGCAGAAACACUUAAGCAGUUAAACAUAUUAAAACUAUCAAGUGGAAUCAAACCACAUUAAAUUUAAAUCAUUUUAUAUGAUAAAUGGCCAAUCAUUCCACCUAGGUAGGCUACAAGAAGCUCGGAGACUUCACCAAUUACCUUGUUGAAGCAAAGAACUCUUCCUUCCUGGAGCUGCAGCUAUUAAAGUUUAUAUAUGAACACAGCAUCCUCACCACACAGUAACUGGAGUGGGUUUAAAAUAAACAAAACCCCACAAGCCACAAAUGCACACAGAAGUUCUCUCAGCUAUUUGGGAAUGCUGAGUGAUUUAGAAGGGCAAGUUAUCAUGCCUUGGGAGAUACAAUUUAAUUAAGUUGGCCAGUUUUGAGUACACGACAAUAUCCUUAAUCCUUAGUAUCUUUGGCUGAUGUAGGAUUAAACAUGAAAUCAAGU